This 337-nucleotide unclassified non-coding RNA is filed under the name soil metagenome. Its description in RNAcentral is "partial contains 5.8S ribosomal RNA, internal transcribed spacer 2, and large subunit ribosomal RNA". The stretch from base 1 to 120 matches the Rfam family "5.8S ribosomal RNA", at positions 35 to 154 of the family's 154-position model. The record is from RNAcentral.
GAUGAAGAACGUAGUGAAAUGCGAUAAGUAGUGUGAAUUGCAGAAUUCAGUGAAUCAUCGAAUCUUUGAACGCACAUUGCGCCCCUUGGUAUUCCAUGGGGCAUGCCUGUUCGAGCGUCAUUUGUACCUUCAAGCUCUGCUUGGUGUUGGGUGUUUGUCUCGCCUCUGCGUGUAGACUCGCCUCAAAACAAUUGGCAGCCGGCGUAUUGAUUUCGGAGCGCAGUACAUCUCGCGCUUUGCACUCAUAACGACGACGUCCAAAAGUACAUUUCUACACUCUUGACCUCGGAUCAGGUAGGGAUACCCGCUGAACUUAAGCAUAUCAAUAAGCGGAGGA